This 253-nucleotide ribosomal RNA is filed under the name uncultured bacterium. RNAcentral's name for it is "partial 16S ribosomal RNA". It matches the Rfam family "Bacterial small subunit ribosomal RNA", at positions 524 to 776 of the family's 1533-position model. The record is from RNAcentral.
GACGGAGGGUGCUAGCGUUGUCCGGAAUCAUUGGGCGUAAAGCGCGUGUAGGCGGCUCGGUAAGUCCGCUCUGAAAGCCCGGGGCUCAACCCCGGGAGGCGGGUGGAUACUGCUGAGCUCGAGUCCGGAAGAGGAGUGUGGAAUUCCUGGUGUAGCGGUGAAAUGCGCAGAUAUCAGGAGGAACACCAAUGGCGAAGGCAGCACUCUGGGACGGUACUGACGCUGAGACGCGAAAGCGUGGGGAGCAAACAGG